This 484-nucleotide ribosomal RNA is filed under the name uncultured bacterium. RNAcentral describes it as "partial 16S ribosomal RNA". It matches the Rfam family "Bacterial small subunit ribosomal RNA", at positions 30 to 507 of the family's 1533-position model. The record is from RNAcentral.
AUUGAACGCUGGCGGCAGGCCUAACACAUGCGAGUCGAGCGGAUGAAGGGAGCUUGCUCCUGGAUUCAGCGGCGGACGGGUGAGUAAUGCCUAGGAAUCUGCCUGGUAGUGGGGGAUAACGUCCGGAAACGGGCGCUAAUACCGCAUACGUCCUGAGGGAGAAAGUGGGGGAUCUUCGGACCUCACGCUAUCAGAUGAGCCUAGGUCGGAUUAGCUAGUUGGUGGGGUAAAGGCCUACCAAGGCGACGAUCCGUAACUGGUCUGAGAGGAUGAUCAGUCACACUGGAACUGAGACACGGUCCAGACUCCUACGGGGGGCAGCAAUGGGGAAUAUUGGACAAUGGGCGAAAGCCUGAUCCAGCCAUGCCGCGUGUGUGAAGAAGGUCUUCGGAUUGUAAAGCACUUUAAGUUGGGAGGAAGGGCAGUAAGUUAAUACCUUGCUGUUUUGACGUUACCAACAGAAUAAGCACCGGCUAACUUCGUG